GAGGGAUCUAUGCUACCGUAGAAUCCACGUCUGCUACUGCUGUUUACUCGCUUUUUUAUGGGCGAUCGUUUUCAGGCUUCAAGUAGCACCAUUAUACCAACAUUUCACAUUCUACACAUUGUUUUAGGCGUAUUUGACCAAAGGUUUGACUGAAAAUUCACAUGCAAGCUUUUUUUCAAGGCUGUGGUAUUUGCCCGCAAACAAUACCUUUCAGCUAGCUAAAACAGAAUAUUAUGCUAUCAGCGAGCAACAUGGCUAAUGCCUUUCACACAGCUUUGUCUCAACUCCAAAGAGCCACAGAAGUAAAAGCUCAUAAUAAUAAUUGAAACAAUCUUUGAAAAAAUGACUUACCAAGCAUGGCAAACAACUCAAAUAGUGAUGGGUCGUUCGCGAACGAAAUGGCUCUUAGAGCCGAAUCUUUGACGUGAACGACGCGAGCCGGCUCCUUAUCGCGAGCCGUCACGUGGGGUUUUUUUUUUUUUCUUUCUCUCAGCCUCUCUCUCGCACUUUUUUUCCGCUUCACUCUGCACGCGAGCCUUGUGCUUUACACUGGGCAGAGGGGGGAGGGGCGGUAGUUACACUCAGUAGCACAGGAACAGAGCCAGAGAGAAAGAGAGGCAGGGACAACAACAUUAGAAAGGUAUAGUAAUCAUCCACAACUAUUUUCAGUUGCAGAUGAUAAAGGAUUGAGAAAGUUUAUUCAUGCAGGUCCAUAUGACAGAGAAUAUGCAUGUUCUUUUAGUUUUCAUAUUAUAAUUUAUAUUUAAUUGUGUUGUGGUUUGCAGUGUUUUGUGUUCUUUUCACUUUAAAUUUGUGAAAGGAAAAAGCUGAAAAUUUAAAUAGUUAAAACUUGAAAUGUGAAUAGUUGAUUUUUGUAUUAUAUGAUUUAUUUAUUACAUUUUAUGUGGAGUGAAUAAAUAAAAGUAUAUUUACGGUGGCCCCUAGAGACAAAGCACAUACAAACUUCAAAUCACGUACGAACUCUGAAGCAUGUACAAACUCCAAAACACGUAAAAACUCCAAAACACGUAAAAACACG
Long non-coding RNA from Astatotilapia calliptera (eastern happy), 1039 nucleotides. NCBI's taxonomy places the organism in Eukaryota, Metazoa, Chordata, Actinopteri, Cichliformes, Cichlidae. The record is from Ensembl.